UAGGUGCUUGGUAAAAGAGAACUUCUUUCC
Molecule: non-coding RNA, 30 nt
Filed under: Callithrix jacchus (white-tufted-ear marmoset)
Lineage: Eukaryota; Metazoa; Chordata; Mammalia; Primates; Cebidae
Also listed under: 1 other name
Source: RNAcentral